Molecule: ribosomal RNA, 468 nt
Filed under: uncultured bacterium
Lineage: Bacteria
Description: partial 16S ribosomal RNA
Rfam family: Bacterial small subunit ribosomal RNA
Source: RNAcentral
GACGAACGCUGGCGGCGUGCUUAACACAUGCAAGUCGAACGGAAAGGCCCUGCUUUUGUGGGGUGCUCGAGUGGCGAACGGGUGAGUAACACGUGAGUAACCUGCCCUUGACUUUGGGAUAACUUCAGGAAACUGGGGCUAAUACCGGAUAGGAGCUCCUGCUGCAUGGUGGGGGUUGGAAAGUUUCGGCGGUUGGGGAUGGACUCGCGGCUUAUCAGCUUGUUGGUGGGGUAGUGGCUUACCAAGGCUUUGACGGGUAGCCGGCCUGAGAGGGUGACCGGCGACAUUGGGACUAAGGUACGGCCCAGACGGCUACGGGAGGCAACAGGGGGGAAUAUUGCACAAUGGGCGGAAGCCUGAUGCAGCAACGCCGCGUGCGGGAUGACGGCUUUCGGGUUGUAAACCGCUUUCGACUGUGACGAAGCGUGAGUGACGGUAAUGGGUAAGGAAGCACCGGCUAACUACGUG